RNAcentral lists this signal recognition particle RNA (97 nucleotides) under Pseudoalteromonas sp. Its description in RNAcentral is "signal recognition particle sRNA small type". It matches the Rfam family "Bacterial small signal recognition particle RNA". Rfam says of the family: The signal recognition particle (SRP) is a universally conserved ribonucleoprotein involved in the co-translational targeting of proteins to membranes. Archaeal SRP consists of a 7S RNA and homologues of the eukaryotic SRP19 and SRP54 proteins. RNAcentral also lists the same sequence under 33 other names. Lineage: Bacteria; Pseudomonadati; Pseudomonadota; Gammaproteobacteria; Alteromonadales; Pseudoalteromonadaceae. The record is from RNAcentral.
UAUUGGUCCUCUCGCAACACUAGCAGGUGAACCUGGUCAGGCCCGGAAGGGAGCAGCCACAGCGUGUGACGUGUGUGCCGAGAUGCGGCUGGUAAGA